GCCACACCCACCCCAUCUCCACCGUCUCACCACUGAUUCAUUGAUGCUAAGCUUACGUGCAGCAGCUCUAUUUCCCUCUUCGACAGCCGGAUCAAUCAUUAGCCCAGAAUACAUAAAUUAGCCAGAUCAUUUUUGAGCCGCGAGUUCAGUGUGUGGAAAAAAGUAGCAUCUUAUAGACCGGAAAUUACGGUAAUAAACUAUAGCUG
Sphaeramia orbicularis (orbiculate cardinalfish) is the source of this 206-nucleotide long non-coding RNA. RefSeq lists it as uncharacterized. Lineage: Eukaryota; Metazoa; Chordata; Actinopteri; Kurtiformes; Apogonidae. The record is from RefSeq and is a predicted model, not a curated record. The transcript has 3 exons.